Molecule: small nuclear RNA, 135 nt
Organism: Lutra lutra (Eurasian river otter)
Lineage: Eukaryota; Metazoa; Chordata; Mammalia; Carnivora; Mustelidae
Product: U4 spliceosomal RNA
Exons: 1
Source: RefSeq, a predicted model, not a curated record
UUCUUUGCGCAGUGGCAGUAUCGUAGCCAAUGAGGUUUAUCCGAGGCGUGAUUAUUGCUAAUUGAAAACUUUUCCCAAACUUCAGUGACUUUCAGGUAAAAUUUUAUUAUAAUUUCUUUGAUAAUCUGCAAUGGU